This 427-nucleotide ribosomal RNA is filed under the name uncultured bacterium. RNAcentral's name for it is "partial 16S ribosomal RNA". It matches the Rfam family "Bacterial small subunit ribosomal RNA", at positions 355 to 774 of the family's 1533-position model. The record is from RNAcentral.
UGGGGAAUAUUGCACAAUGGGCGCAAGCCUGAUGCAGCCAUGCCGCGUGUGUGAAGAAGGCCUUCGGGUUGUAAAGCACUUUCAGCGAGGAGGAAGGGUAGUGUGUUAAUAGCACAUUGCAUUGACGUUACUCGCAGAAGAAGCACCGGCUAACUCCGUGCCAGCAGCCGCGGUAAUACGGAGGGUGCAAGCGUUAAUCGGACUUACUGGGCGUAAAGCGCACGCAGGCGGUUUGUUAAGUCAGAUGUGAAAUCCCCGCGCUUAACGGGGGAACUGCAUUUGAAACUGUCAAGCUAGAGUCUUGUAGAGGGGGGUAGAAUUCCAGGUGUAGCGGUGAAAUGCGUAGAGAUCUGGAGGAAUACCGGUGGCGAAGGCGGCCCCCUGGACAAAGACUGACGCUCAGGUGCGAAAGCGUGGGGAGCAAACA